GAGGAGCCAGUGGUAUUGAUGGGUUGGUUAGUACAGCUAUUGGCUUUGCCUGUAGGAUGCAAUAAAUGGGUUCUUUGUGUGAUUGGAGAUGUUUCUUUCCUUCAUAAUACCAAUGGGUUGGCAAUUUUGAGCCAAAGGCAGCUUUCAUGGUUCCAACUGAGUUGCUUGCAAUCCAGCAUUAUGAUCAUUUAAAUAAUUUGCUUGAAAAGCAUGGAGGAAGUUGAGUGCAAACCUUCUAUUGCGUUACUAACAGGUUCAACCCAGUUAAAACAAUCACGGAUGAUACGUAAGGAUCUUCAAACUGGAGACAUAUUAAUAGUCACUGCCCAUUGGAACCCGCAGUUUGAUUGCUGAAAGGUGGAGUUCUCUGCACUGCAGAUUGCUGUAGUGGAUGAGCAGCAUCGUUUUGGUGUGAUCCAGAGAGGAAGGUUCAACAGCAAGUUGGGCAAUACUUCCAUAUGUUCAAGACUUGCUUCAGAAAAUUCGGAUGACUCCUCACAAACUGAUAAGUUUAUGGCUUCUCAUGUUCUUGCCAUGUCUGCCACUCCUAUCCCGAGGACUCUUGCUCUGGCUUUAUACGGAGAUGUGUCCCUGACACAAAUAUACAAUGUUUCUA
Molecule: long non-coding RNA, 616 nt
Organism: Morus notabilis
Lineage: Eukaryota; Viridiplantae; Streptophyta; Magnoliopsida; Rosales; Moraceae
Exons: 5
Source: RefSeq, a predicted model, not a curated record